Non-coding RNA from Sus scrofa (pig), 4787 nucleotides. Lineage: Eukaryota; Metazoa; Chordata; Mammalia; Artiodactyla; Suidae. The record is from RefSeq and is a predicted model, not a curated record.
GCCAGGGAUUGAAUCUGCAUCCUCAUGGACACUAGUAGGGUUUGUUUCUGUUGCACCACAAUGGGAACUCCCAGAUUUAUUAUUAUUUAAGAUAGAAUACCUGACCUCACUGUGUUUCUAGGAGAGAAGAUAAACAUUGCUUAGUUAUACAAAGCCAUGAAAAAGUAAAAGCAUGUUAUCAAACUUAAGAAUAGAGAUGGUCUAGUUAAUAGUUUCAGUAACAUUGAGGGAAAUUUUUUUGGUAAUCAAAUUUAAACUGGCCUGAAGAAUAAGGCUGAUUUAAAUUAUUUUUAUUGUUUUAUUAGAACUUUUGUUUUACUGCAAAGGAGAUGGCAAUGAGUUACAUUGUGAGAAAUAAUGAAGUUUAAACUCUGAUUGCUACUGAGAUCUAUGGCUCAGAACUCUCUGACUGGAACCCACCUUCAGUUACUUCUCCCACAUUCCUUUCGCUGGAACGGGGCACAAAGAAAAGAAACAUGCUCUUCCCAAAGAAGCAGGUGGAGAGGGAUCUGGCUGAACAGUGAGUCCAUUCAAGAAUAUCAUCAAGUGCAAUGUCUCCUGGAGAAAACCUAAAGAUUUUAAAUUUGAAAGAAACUGCUCACAAGAAGAGAAAUGAAUGACUGAUAAUGUAGUUAUCCCGCAGCAGUACAGCAAUAUAGAUGAGUAAUAAUGACAAGGAAAAUGAAAACAGCCAUGACUGAAAGACUGAACUAGGAAAAUACAACGACCAGGUAAUUUUCUUCUGUAAUUAUCUUAUUUCCACUUACUAUCCCCUGGAAACAGAUUCCGAGUUCUACAUUCCUUGAUCUAUACCAUCUUUCCACUGUAGGAAAGGUCUUCUACAAGGAAGUUCUCAGUAAAUGCUGGCUGACUGACAGACACGGAGUGACUGAGAAGCAGUGUUUAAAAUCUCUAACCUCUACUUUUGCUUCUAUAAAAUUAUUUUUAACUACUUCAACCCACCUUGUUUUUGGGAAACCUAACACAUGCACAAUAUAAAACCUUGUUCCUGGCAUCUGAAAAAAAUCUUACAGCAGUAACAGCCUCCAGCCCAAUUCCCUGCCCUAGAAGGCAAAGCUUUUAAUAUUAUUAAGCUAACCUGGUUAGAGUAGGGAGAAGCUACUUAAAACACUAACAUCAAACUGGUGAGAGUUUUCACAGUUAAUUGGCAGCUUUUUUUUUUUUUUUUUUUUUUUACCUAAGAAAGAAUAUAUAUAUAUGCAUCAUGUUAGGUACAAGGAUGAAACCAAACUUAGGCAAAAUAUUUUGCCCAUUUAUCGUCUAUGCCAUUUUUAGAGCUUUUAGCAUCUCUGAGUAAGUCUCUCAGAUUUGGCAAUGCCCACCUUUUCCCAGAGCCUCAUGUCUCUUUCAAGUCAAGAUUAUCUCUCUCCCUGGUCUAACCAGUGAUACAUCCAUUCCAGUGAGCUGAUGAGCAGUAGUAGCAAAGGAUGCCACUUCUGUGGCCUUAGGUUAAACCGUGCAAGUGGAAUGCCGCAUAGAUUGUUCUGUAAGUUAACGUCUGAAUCCUUCCGAGAAACAGUAGUAGUUCUAUUUUUUAAUUUUUUAAAAAUAUAGGUGAUUUACGGUGUUGUGCCAAUUUCUGCUAUACAGCAAAGGGAGCCAGAAAUAUAUAUUCUUCUCCAUCAUGGUCUAUCCCAGGAGACUGGAUAUAGUUUCCUGUGCUACACAGCUGGGACCCUGUUCUUUAACAGUGUUCUAUUUGAAGCAUGGCAUGAAGCACUUCACAAGAUUACUAAAUUCAUUUCCACAAAAACUCUGUGAGUUAGGUAGCUCAGAAAAACUGAAACUUAAAUAGUAAGUCCAGCAAUAUAGAUCUAAAAGGAGCAGAGUAGGUCUGGGGACCGAGGCUAUGACCUCUAUGCCCUAUUUAUAACUGGCAGGAGUUCAUGUCUGGGAAAACAGCUUUGGGUGUGAUUCUGUGUUCUAGCUGCUUCACACAAAUCACCUCACCUCCAAGUCAAAUGUCUAUCUAAUCCAAUUGUAACCCUCCUCACUAAAUAUUAGAAACUUCUUCCUCUUGCUGUGUCACCCAACCUUUUCACUGUAUCUUGGUUAAAACUCAGAAGUAAAACUUCAGCAUAACCUAUUUCAAAUUUGGUACACCUUACUCCAUAAGAUAUUUAGAACCAUUUUGUAAAGUAAAAGCAAAUAUUUAUACAAAUUAAUGGUGAUCCUAAUUUUAUUUCAUGGAGUAAAAUGUUUAAUGUUAUCUGUCUCUUACUAACAAAAAAUAAAACUACAUGGCAGUUGCCAGACUGAUUAGAUUUUGGCGGUAUACAAUUUUCAGCAUACAGGGAACGCUAUAUUAUGGUAGCUAAUAAGCUUGAUUGAAUUAGGUCUGAUAUUUACAUUUGAAUACUCCUCACUAAAUAUUGGAAAUUCAUUCCUUUUAAAAAAAUUGAUGUUCUCUCCUUUCUAAAUAAGAAAUUCAAGAAAAAAUUAUAGGGUGAAGAAUAGGAUGAGAUCAGAUGUCAAUAAUUUCUCUGAUAAACAGAAAAAUUGAAGAGGUCUAGUCAAUUUAGUUUAAGAAAACAUUGUUGAUUGCCUCUUCUUUGCUAGACACUGUGCUAUUCUUGAAUUGCAAAUAAAAAAAUGCCUUUACCCUUGGAAAUUAAUUAUCUCACUCAGAAAUACUUUUACAUCAUAAAAUAUAGGAGUGGUAUCACAAUUUUUCUAUUUAUUUUGUUGUAGCUUAGAAUGGGUAAUCUCAGUUAACUGACUUCACUGAGCUAAACCAUUUUCAACAAUUCCUUUACAGAAAAUGAUUCUGAAAUGAGCAGUUUUCCAUAAUUUCAGAGAGUGAUUUAGGUGGAAAUCAUCCAUUACCAUUAAUAGAAUUUAUAUAACUCAAUUUUACUGCCACUAAAAGGUCACCUCUGAAAGGCUUUUAUUAAUGUUAUUUCCUUUUAAAGAAGUUGUUUCUGUCAAAAAUAAUAAGCUAUAGAAUUCAAAAGCGAUCAUUCACUACUUUAAUCUGAAUUCAUUAUUUUUAAUAUCUUUAUACUUUUGCUCCACUAAAUUUAUACACACACACACAUAUAUAUAUAUGUGUAUAUAUAUAUAUAUUCACCUUUUAACUGUAGAAACUGCCUGCCAAGUGACGUAAUUAAGGGCAUAUAUAUUGUGUUUACAUAUAAGAUAUAUAAUCUCCCAAUUUGGGACAGUCGUAGGUGACGUUUUCUUGUUGAUUCCUAUAAAAACUGUACUUUUAACUGUAGAGGCUGCCUACCAAGUGAGGUAAUUAAAGGCAUAAACUCCCUUUGAAGAUGGGAUAUUUUCCAUUGAAUUGUCUUCAAAUGAAUGAUCGAUGGUGUCUUCUCUUUGAAGAACAGAAGGCAACCUAGAAGCUUUAUCCCAGAUUCUCUCAGUGAUUGAUAAUCUCCAGUGGUGUUUUGUCAAGCAAACCAAGGCAUAAUGAGAGUAACAGAAUAAGCGCUUAAGCUUGAACAGAGCCCAGCCUGCCAGUUCUCGGUUAGGAAGUCAUCUAUUAGCAACCUUUCAUCAUCCCAACCCUCUACAGUCAAAUUGACUUCUGGUGUCUGAAAUAGUAGGCGGCCUCUUUGGCUAACUCAGAGUCAUUGUAUCUUGGUUCUUUUUGGGGAAACUACCUGUAUAAACAGGCCAGGAUAAUGAGUAAACACCAACCAACCAACUUUCCUUUACAGUUCCAUGCUCAUUCCCAGGCACAGAGCCCCGCCUUAUUCUGACAAAAGACAGGCUGAUUUGGACUGUGCCUCACUAAGGAAAUGGCCACCUGACACUAGUUUAAAGAAGUGAUAAAUCUCCAAAGUUUUACAGUCUCUCUCUCCCUCUCACUCACACACACACACACAGAGCCUGGGUUUUCUUCCUACUGGAGGCACUCUGAAAACCAGAAUCACAGUGUGCACGGUUAUUAACCAAUUGCAUGUAACUGCCAGAAAGUUGAAAUUGCACCUCAGUGUUUGCGGCCGGCAGGAUUUCUCCUGGCAACCCGUGGCUGUUUUAAGUGCAGACAGAAUGGAGCUGCACAGCCAGCUCUCUCCACAUGGGGUAGGGAAAGGCUGUGCAGAGGUAGAUGCAGGAUACAAGUGCUUCAGGAAAUGACUUCUAGCGCUAGCUCUUCUUUUUUGUAUCAACAUCUAAUUUACAUAGAAAAUCAAAUACCUAGGAAUGAAUUAGAUGCUCACAGAACAAAAAAAGAUUCAUGAACAAUGUCAAUGAUUAGGAGCUCUGAAGUAUUAUGAAGGGCAAUCCAUAAGUAUAUGAUUUUUGGAGGAAAAUAAAUGUACAUAAUGCAUGAUAAUUAAAGAAGAGUGUUUAAAGGCAGUAUGUAUAUAUUGUUUGUUUAGUUUUGUGGUGCAAAACCCAGGCCCCAAAAUACAGCUGGCAUGUCUGUCUUUCUCACAUUUCUACAAGUGGACUGGGGUCUCUCUGCUUCCAGCUAGAAUCUGUGGGUGGACCCAAGCUGGAAGGCACAGUUACCUGAGGCAUCUUCUCCUGACAGAAGUCAGAAGCCUCUAGAUGGGUGGGUACAAGUGGGAGAUGCCUCUUAAAGCCUUGGGUUAGGACUGGUACCCAAUCACUUCUUCCCACAUUCUUCUGGUAAAGCAAGUUCCUUGGCCAAGCCCACCUCUGAAGGGAUAGAGAUGUUUGCUUCUCUUGGGGAAAGAGAAUAAAGUUGGGGGAAAGAAAAUGACUAUUUGCUGAAUGAUGAGCUAAUCUGACAAUUUUUUUUUUUCUCACAGUUUGGAAAAUGUCAAUAAUUUAAAAAGACAUGGGUGUUC